Molecule: ribosomal RNA, 304 nt
Filed under: uncultured bacterium
Lineage: Bacteria
Description: bacterial SSU rRNA
Rfam family: Bacterial small subunit ribosomal RNA
Source: RNAcentral
GUUGAACGCUGGCGGCAUGCUUUACACAUGCAAGUCGAACGGUAACAGGGAGCUUGCUCCGCUGACGAGUGGCGAACGGGUGAGUAAUAUAUCGGAACGUACCCAAGAGUGGGGGAUAACGUAGCGAAAGUUACGCUAAUACCGCAUACGAUCCAAGGAUGAAAGCAGGGGACCUUCGGGCCUUGUGCUCCUGGAGCGGCCGAUAUCUGAUUAGCUAGUUGGUGAGGUAAAGGCUCACCAAGGCGACGAUCAGUAGCUGGUCUGAGAGGACGACCAGCCACACUGGAACUGAGACACGGUCCAG